This 30-nucleotide non-coding RNA is filed under the name Rattus norvegicus (Norway rat). Lineage: Eukaryota; Metazoa; Chordata; Mammalia; Rodentia; Muridae. The record is from RNAcentral.
UGAGCUCUGUGGCCUAUAUAUACAAUGUAA